Molecule: long non-coding RNA, 2389 nt
Filed under: Gossypium barbadense (sea-island cotton)
Lineage: Eukaryota; Viridiplantae; Streptophyta; Magnoliopsida; Malvales; Malvaceae
Description: long non-coding RNA (GBAR_LNC001652)
Source: RNAcentral
AAAUAAUUAAAAUGGCCUUAUUACAGCCCAAAACCAAACAAUAAUAUUAAUAAGAUAAAACUUAUAAAGAAAUAAAUUAGCUACUUAUUGCAAUUAAAAGAAACAGAAACAGUAGUGUGGCCAUCUCCGAGUCCCUCGCAGCUCCAAACCAUCUAAGCUUAGGGAUUACCUGCACAGUUAGAAAUGGGGUGAAUUUACGAAAACUCAGUGUGUAAUCCUAAUAACAAACAAACAGUGAAAACACAGUAUCAGUACAAUCUGGGCUAAAGCCCUAUUUAGUCUUGACAUAUACUGGGCCGAAGCCUUUCGUUUAACGGUUACUGGGCCGAAGCCUUUACUGUAAACGGUAUAGCUCUUAGGCCCAUUUCAAUAUCACAUGUAAUGUCAAUGGAUGUAUGCAAGCCCAUUUCAAUAUCACAUGAAAUACCAAUGAAUGUAUGCAAGCCCAUUUGGAGAGACUACUCAAUCCUCCAUCCGCUACUCUCCACCCGUACCAACCAACACACCAUGUGGGGAAUAACUCAACCCACCCAACCAACACACCACUGGCAGCAUAGCUACUUUAUCAUAUAUCUGAAGGCCUAGCCUCUUUAAUAACUGGGGCAAAGCCCUUUUCAAUAAACUGGGGCAUAAGCCCUUUUCGGUAAACAGGGGCAUAAGCCCUUUUCAAUAAACUGGGGCAUAAGCCCUUUUGCACUUCCUCCAUCCAUAUAAAAACCCAACCCAAUGCAACAUGUCAUGUGUGCAGAAUGUCAUGCCCAUAUUUGAAUAAACAAUCACAGUCAAGUCAUUCAUAUCACCAACAUAUAUUCACAAUCAAAUCCAUCAACCACACAUUCCAAGUCAGUCACUUGCCCACAAGGGCAAAACAAUUAUUUUUCAUAUUAUAAGGGUAUUUUCGUAAUUUUACCAAAUAUCAGUGUUUUCCAUGUUCAUUACAAUUAUCAAUAUUUUCGAGUGUUUAAACAAUGAUCUUUAACCCGCUUUAUCAAAUUCGGGCUUUUGGGCCCAAAACCCCUAAUGGGCCCUACGAAUGCUGAUUUAGCUUACUUAACCCAAAUUUUACAACAAUACUAACCGUGUUAACGUGCAACUUUUCAAAAUUCCAUUUUCUAUCAAUUCUACCCAAAUGGGUCCGAAAGCCCAUUGGGCCCAAUUUUAGCCCAUUGAGGCCCAACUUACCAUCGUGCACAAAAUCGAGUUCUUACCUGUUCCAUCGAUCCAAAAACUGAUCUUAUCGUAUUUAUCGCAUCUAUACCCAAACGCAACAUUACAAGUUCCCGAAAUAUCGGUAUUUUAGCAUUUCGGCUUCUCAGCAAAUAUUAAUCUAAGCUAUUACGAGGGUUAGUACACACCUGUUACGGGUUGAAGUUGAAACGUUUCCAAAAUCAAUCGCCUACGAUAACCACCACCUGUCACUCAAACUUAACUAAUCCAAUAUCAAUAUAUGUAAAUCCUAAGCACAUCAGUCAUACGAAACAUAAGGGCAUAUUCGUCAUUUUACCAUACAGGGGUAUUACGGUCACUUUACCCUACAGGGGCUUUACGGUCUUUUUACCUAUUAGGGGUAUUUUAGUCCUUUUAUCCUACAAGGGUGUUUUGGUAAAUCUACAAACCAAGGGUAUUUCAGUAAUUUUGUAAACCAAUGGUAUUUCUAUAAUUUUUAAAAAGUCAAGUGUAUUUUUGUAAUUUUAUAAAUCAGGGGUAUUUUGGUAAUUUUACAAAUUGAGGGUAUUUCAGUAAUUUCACAAACCAGUGGUAUUUUGGUAAUUUUACAAGCUAGGGCCAUUUUGGUAAUUUUACAAACUAGGGGUAUUUUGGUAAUUCUAUCUUACAGGGGUAUUUCAGUAAUUUCACAAUCGAGGGUAAAACGGUAAUUUUUUAAACUGAGGGUAAAAUGGUAAUUUUGUAAAUCGAGGGUAAAACGGUAAUUUUGUAAAUCGAGGGUAAAAUGGUAUUCUAUAAAUUGAGGGUAAAACGGUAAUUUUGUAAAUCGAGGGUGAAACGGUAAUUCUACAAAUCGAGGGUAUUUCAGUAAUUUGGUAAACUAAAGUAUUCUAAACACGGAUAACAAUAUGAAUGGGCCUAAAGCCUAUUCUCAGCCCAAAUGGGCCCACACGCUCGUGCGGCCCUUUUAGCCCAAAUCUAGCCACAAAUAUGAGAUUGACCUAGCCUAGUCCAAUAUUUACUACCCAAUCAAACAACUUAUCCAAUUGGGCCCGUAGGCCCAUUAGGCCAACAUGACCCCUUUCGGCCCAUCACGGCCCGAAGUAGCCAUCUUACAGCUAGAGUAGUGAGAAAUACACACCUGAUUGGCGACUGGAGUUAAUCCAAGCUCCGAGCACUCUUAGUCGACGCCCAACCCAAACGAGCACGCCAUACAGCGAAA